Triticum aestivum (bread wheat) is the source of this 103-nucleotide non-coding RNA. NCBI's taxonomy places the organism in Eukaryota, Viridiplantae, Streptophyta, Magnoliopsida, Poales, Poaceae. The record is from Rfam.
UAACCAUGGUUAGGGCAAAGGUUCAAAAAUUGUUAUAUCUUUCCCACGCUCCAUAUAGACUUUCCCCAUCUUCUUGAAUAGAUAAAGUGAGAUUUCUACGUAA